This 233-nucleotide ribosomal RNA is filed under the name uncultured bacterium. RNAcentral describes it as "partial 16S ribosomal RNA". It matches the Rfam family "Bacterial small subunit ribosomal RNA", at positions 118 to 347 of the family's 1533-position model. The record is from RNAcentral.
UGAGCAACCUGCCUUAAAGAGGGGGAUAACGUUUGGAAACGAACGCUAAUACCGCAUAUGAUCUUAGUGCUGCAUGGUACAGAGAUGAAAGGAGCAAUCCGCUUUAAGAUGGGCUCGCGUCCGAUUAGAUAGUUGGUGGGGUAACGCUCACCAAGUCGACGAUCGGUAGCCGGACUGAGAGGUUGAACGGCCACAUUGGGACUGAGACACGGCCCAGACUCCUACGGGAGCAG